RNAcentral lists this ribosomal RNA (1251 nucleotides) under Bacillus sp. DV9-19. Its description in RNAcentral is "bacterial SSU rRNA". It matches the Rfam family "Bacterial small subunit ribosomal RNA", at positions 23 to 1257 of the family's 1533-position model. The record is from RNAcentral. Lineage: Bacteria; Bacillati; Bacillota; Bacilli; Caryophanales; Bacillaceae.
CUCAGGACGAACGCUGGCGGCGUGCCUAAUACAUGCAAGUCGAGCGGACAGAUGGGAGCUUGCUUCCUGAUGUCAGCGGCGGACGGGUGAGUAACACGUGGGUAACCUGCCUGUAAGACUGGGAUAACUCCGGGAAACCGGGGCUAAUACCGGAUGCUUGAUUGAACCGCAUGGUUCAAUUAUAAAAGGUGGCUUUUAGCUACCACUUACAGAUGGACCCGCGGCGCAUUAGCUAGUUGGUGAGGUAACGGCUCACCAAGGCAACGAUGCGUAGCCGACCUGAGAGGGUGAUCGGCCACACUGGGACUGAGACACGGCCCAGACUCCUACGGGAGGCAGCAGUAGGGAAUCUUCCGCAAUGGACGAAAGUCUGACGGAGCAACGCCGCGUGAGUGAUGAAGGUUUUCGGAUCGUAAAACUCUGUUGUUAGGGAAGAACAAGUACCGUUCGAAUAGGGCGGUACCUUGACGGUACCUAACCAGAAAGCCACGGCUAACUACGUGCCAGCAGCCGCGGUAAUACGUAGGUGGCAAGCGUUGUCCGGAAUUAUUGGGCGUAAAGCGCGCGCAGGCGGUUUCUUAAGUCUGAUGUGAAAGCCCCCGGCUCAACCGGGGAGGGUCAUUGGAAACUGGGGAACUUGAGUGCAGAAGAGGAGAGUGGAAUUCCACGUGUAGCGGUGAAAUGCGUAGAGAUGUGGAGGAACACCAGUGGCGAAGGCGACUCUCUGGUCUGUAACUGACGCUGAGGCGCGAAAGCGUGGGGAGCGAACAGGAUUAGAUACCCUGGUAGUCCACGCCGUAAACGAUGAGUGCUAAGUGUUAGAGGGUUUCCGCCCUUUAGUGCUGCAGCAAACGCAUUAAGCACUCCGCCUGGGGAGUACGGUCGCAAGACUGAAACUCAAAGGAAUUGACGGGGGCCCGCACAAGCGGUGGAGCAUGUGGUUUAAUUCGAAGCAACGCGAAGAACCUUACCAGGUCUUGACAUCCUCUGACAACCCUAGAGAUAGGGCUUCCCCUUCGGGGGCAGAGUGACAGGUGGUGCAUGGUUGUCGUCAGCUCGUGUCGUGAGAUGUUGGGUUAAGUCCCGCAACGAGCGCAACCCUUGAUCUUAGUUGCCAGCAUUCAGUUGGGCACUCUAAGGUGACUGCCGGUGACAAACCGGAGGAAGGUGGGGAUGACGUCAAAUCAUCAUGCCCCUUAUGACCUGGGCUACACACGUGCUACAAUGGGCAGAACAAGGGCAGCGAAGCCG